UCCUGGUUAACCCAGGCAGUCUCACUAGAGUUCCCACCUUAAAUGUUGGCAACUAGUGAUAAGGGUUGCGCUCGUUGCUGGACUUAACCAAACACCUCACGGCACGAGCUGACGACAGCCAUGCAGCACCUGUGCAGAUGCCCCGAAAGGAAAUAGUAUUUCUACUAUCGUCAUCUGCAUGUCAAGCCUGGGUAAGGUUCUUCGCGUUGCAUCGAAUUAAACCACAUGCUCCACUGCUUGUGCGGGUCCCCGUCAAUUCUUUUGAGUUUCACCCUUGCGAGCGUACUCCUCAGGCGGUAUACUUAUCGCGUUAGCUACGGCACAACCAGGGUUGAGUCCGGUUACACCAAGUAUACAUCGUUUACGGCAAGGACUAC
Molecule: unclassified non-coding RNA, 377 nt
Filed under: uncultured Parachlamydiaceae bacterium
Lineage: Bacteria; Pseudomonadati; Chlamydiota; Chlamydiia; Parachlamydiales; Parachlamydiaceae
Description: contains 16S-23S intergenic spacer region
Source: RNAcentral